CGCGGCCCAGCAGCGUCCGCCGCAGCAGCAUCCGCAGCAAUACAAGUCCUCGCCGGGGGGCUACCAGAGACACUACCAGGGAUCACCCAGGACAUCUACUCCAUUUGGUACAGCGCAUGGCAGAGAGAAAAGAGUGUCUAAUGAUGUGGAAAACUAUUACAGACCUUCAAUGCUUGAGGACCCCUGGGCUGGCCUAGAGCCAGUUUCUGUUACAGACAUAAACCAACAAUACAGCAAUGAGCAAACAACAUAUACUGGUAAAAAAGGGAGGUAUUUCAGUUAAAAUUUCUAAAAGCUAAAUAACUCCAUCUGUCAGGAAAACUUUUGGACAAAAUCUUUACACUUACACAAAAUGAACAAUAAUCAAGACCCUAGCUAAUGCUUAUAUUUGAACAAAUGUCCACCCUUUUAUCUGACUCUUUUUUACUGCAUUGGAUAUUUUUAUGUAUGGGGAGGGAAAGGUAGUGAUGGAAUAAUAUACAUUUCUGGCAACAUGGAAGUGCCUACCAGCUUUGAAGAACAGUGUUCUUUAAUCACCAGCGAUUGAUUUGUCUGUUAAAACAGGUUUCCAUAUAAUUACCUCUUCCAUGCCAGAUUAACUUUUAUUGUUUAACUCCUUUAGUAAGUGAUAUUUUUUUAUGUUUCAGUAUAUUUUAGAAUUAAGUGUGGAAACACAAAAAAUAAAAACCUUUGUAAAUCCUUGUUUGUAAUGUAAAAAUUAUUUUUGGACAUUUUUGUGAAGGUGUAUUUGUCAAAGAAUUAGUGAAAUUAGUCAUAUUCUGUAAAUAUACCUGUAUGCUGUGGUUAAACUGAUUUUUGUGCACAAUUUUCUGUUAAUGCUAGUGUGAUAAGUGAAACAUGAUUUUUAGCCAUCUCAGGAAACAAAUGUAUUUGGAAGCUUUAGUUUGUUAAACCAACUCUUUAAUGAUAAACAUUUGUAAUGAUCUUUGGGUUGGGUUUUUUGCUUAAGCGUUUUUUUGUUUUAGUUUUUGGUUGCAUUUUAAGGGAUUCAUAUUUGGAAACAAUAUGAAAUUUAUGGAUUAUAGCAAAUCUGUUUUAGAGCAAGUAAAGUUUAACCUGCACAUAAGCAUUAGAUAAUUAAAUGAAUGCAAAGAUGUUCUCUUCUAAUUUUUAAAAUAGUGUAGAUCUGGUGAUGAAUCAAACUCAAUUUGUAUGAUUAGAUUGAGUACAGUACAUACCAUAACAGUUUCACUCUGAAAUUGUCCGUUAGCAUUUAUAACUCUUCCGACUAUUUUUUUUUUUUACCAGUCUUUGCCUAUAAGAGCCUUUUUACCAUUGUUUGUCUCCUGAUGGGUAAUGUGUAUAUGAAAGCUUUUAAAAGGUUUUUCUACACAUGGAGUUAUCCCUAAAUCAGGGCUACUCAACUUUGGAAGCUCUGGGGGCCACAAUGAUACUCACAGCACAUGCCAAGGGCCGCAACAAGUAUGGUUGCAGAUAGCUUCUUUCACACUGACAGGCAAGAAUACACAACACACAGGCCCCCAUUCAAGUCAGUUCUGCUGAUAUUAAUAAAAUGCAAUAUUUACCUGAUUUCCACCCAUAUGACAGCACUUUUAAUGAGCACUGACAGCCCAGGAAUUUAACUACUAAAACACAUAUCAACAGAAGACCAUUAUAUUGACUACUUUUUUAUUUUGGCUCCUACCCGUGGGCCACAUGUUGAGUCCCAAGUAAAUCCAAACUGCACCGUGGUCUGCAAGCAAACAUGCAUGUUGACUAGCCUUUCCCUAAAUGAUUCCCCAUAUGAAUUUAUUUAUUUUCAGAAUAAAUAGUGGAUAACACCAUGUUUAGACAAGCCUUUAGUAGAGGGGUGGGCAAUAAUUUUUGACCGAGAGCCACUUCAGAAAUUUUAGAAGUGGCCCUGGGCUACCCUGGAAGUGGAUGGGGUCUCAGGCGGAAGGGGCAGAGCCAGUACACUUCUGUGCUUCUCCAUUCACAGACCCUGAUUGGUCUGGGGGUGGCGGAGUGCAUGAAGUCCUCCCUCCACUCCUGAGAGAACCGCCAGGUGUUCGGAACAGCUGACGGUUCCCUCUACAUGCUCAUGCCCCUGGGAGUGGGAGGAGAUUUCACGAGCUCCCUCCUCCCUCCCCCCCACCCCACCUCACCCUUCGGUCAAUCAGGGGCGAGGGGAGCAUGGGAAAUCUCUCAAUCCCUGACCCCACCCUGCAAGCAGCAGCUGGUGGUUGACUUUAAGGGCUGAGCCCUAGGAGACUUUGCACUCUCCCCUACCCCCAUCCAGCAAGGAGUGUGUGGUGCUUAGAAGCACUGUGCUCCUUGCAGGGCAGUAGGAGACUUUGUCUGACCCUCCCUGUCCCCAGGCCAAUCAGGGCUUGGAGGCAGGGGGAGCACGCCUAGUCUCCUCCUGCCUUGCCAGGAGCGAGCAGCACUUCUAAGCUCUGUGCGCUCCUUGCAGGAUGAGGGCAGGGCAGGAGGAAACUUAGCAUGUUCCCCUAGGCCCUGAUUGGCUUGAAGGUGGGGGAGGGAAGAGCAAAAAGUCUCUUGCUCCCUGUCCUCUGAUAUGCAGUGCUUUGUCAACCACCAUGGUUGUCUCUAAGGGACUUACACUCCACUGUCCCAACACCCUGAUUGGCCUGGAGGUAGGGGAGCAGCAGGGCCUUCAUGGGCCAGAUCAACCUGCUUGGCCCUUUUUUAAUGUCUCCUUACCCCUGCCUUAGUAUGACUUGUUAUGCUUUUAGUAAAUCUGUAAAUUGCUAAAACAUGAGACAUGGUUGGAAAUAUCAAUAUUUGUUUCUAAUGUUAGUUAUACUGGAUUUUAAAUAUAAAUUAUGGGGAGAGCUUAAUAAAGUAAAGGAAGUCUGAGGUCAA
This is a non-coding RNA of Pelodiscus sinensis (Chinese soft-shelled turtle), 2847 nucleotides long. Lineage: Eukaryota; Metazoa; Chordata; Testudines; Trionychidae. The record is from RefSeq and is a predicted model, not a curated record.